Pelobates cultripes (western spadefoot toad) is the source of this 203-nucleotide non-coding RNA. Lineage: Eukaryota; Metazoa; Chordata; Amphibia; Anura; Pelobatidae. The record is from the annotation of a GenBank genome assembly.
GGACAGCUCUCUGUUGGUCUUCUCCCAUUUCGUAGCAGGGACAAACCAUUGUGUAAAAGGGCCUCCUGUGUCUGCUACAAAGUUUAUUUGGUGCACUGCUUGAUUCUCUGCCAUUCAGCAGUUAGAACCACUUUAUAUAUGGGAAAAACACCUCUUACGAUCUAUUCCAGCACAAUGUAUUUUAUUCACACAACUUCUAAAAG